Siniperca chuatsi (mandarin fish) is the source of this 2667-nucleotide long non-coding RNA. RefSeq lists it as uncharacterized. Lineage: Eukaryota; Metazoa; Chordata; Actinopteri; Centrarchiformes; Sinipercidae. The record is from RefSeq and is a predicted model, not a curated record. The transcript has 2 exons.
ACAUAAGCAUUGUUUGCAUUAACAAGUCAAUCAUAAAAUUAAUUGGUGAACAGCAUGUGAAUCAAUAUAGGAGAAGUUAAUUAUGUUGAAGGAGUGGUGUCUAUGUAUGUUUUUAUAUCAUUUUUGUUGUUUGUUUGUUUGCUUAGUUUUUUUGCAGUGACUCUAAGCCGCCAUUGGGAUUCCUUGUAACUGCUGACUACAGCUGCUGUUCUCCAAAAAGAUACAACAUUUUCAGAGCCACUUUUCAAGACUACAGGAAUCGGUUUUCCACCGCCGCGCAGUCCAGGGGCUUAGAAACGCCUGCUCUGUCUUGCCAGGACUAAGUGCAUGCAGAUUGUGUCUACUCUUCACUAGCCUCUGACUGACGCACACAUGCACACUGAUGCAUGUACGAAUGCACAUAUGCAAACCUCUUCAGCAUACACACAAGUAUGUGUCGACACACACGAAGACAAGCCGCUCUCCUCCAUUACAGACCGCCAUGACUACCCGAUGAUUACCCUGCGAGCCCCAUCAUCACCCGCGUCAGCAUCAGCCCCCUGGAAAACCUUCGCUCCUCCGCAGUGAAAGGCAAGAACGCUGUGAAUUGUACGGUGGUGGUGGUGGUGGUGAUGAUGAUGAUGAUGACCACACCUCUUAUGUCUCAUUUCUCUUCUUUCCCAAACAGCUCUUCACAAGCUUCCAGCUGGCCAGGCAAGGCUGCCCGCUAAGUUGACAUGUAACUUAAAGCUAAAUAUUGAAUAAUUAUGACGCAAAGCUGCCAAGCGCUGAAGUUCUUUCAUGUAGUAGAGAGAGCUCUGCUGAGCAUGUGUAACAUCAUAAUCUUCUCAAAUUCACGUUGAGAAACACAGACAGUUUUAAUUUGAUACUCUGACAAAGGUGAUGCACGCUGCGAACACUUAUUAAGUGACUAAUAUCCUGUGUAACAAAUGUUCACGCAAGUCAGCUCCUAUUUAUGUAAAGAGUGUCAUGUAAUGCUGAAGCAUGGUGUUAAGGCCAACUUAAGCAAACCCCCUCAUUAACUGCAGGGUUACCAGCAAGGGCUUAAAAAGACAUUGGGCUCGUCAAAAGACAGCAGACGUCAGGGCCAUCUUAGCUUACCCAAGGACCGAUAGCCAGAUUAUCUAACCACCUCCGCUUGGGCGCCACACCUCACGGCUUCCCUCCAGCCAUUUUCACAAGACGAGAUGAAUGCGGGAUGCCUCCAUUUCCCAGGGAAAGUUCCAUUUUGGAGACAGAGGUGGGAACUGAACACCGCUGAGCCGAUUAACCGGCCUCUCACUCUGAGUAAGAGAUAUGGUGUGAGUGCUUGUGAAGGGUGAUUAUGUAUGCAUGUGUGUGCGAAUACAAGGGUUUAGAUAUGGAGUUUUAAAGGCUGAUGGACUGAUUAUUAAAAUAUCUUUUGAACAUUUUAAAGAAUCUGAAACAUUUUCAUGCCAGAAAAUGACCAGUUUUCUGUGUUUGCGCCAGAAUUUUAUUUUUGUCAGCGUGGAAAAGCCGCUCAAAUAGUUUAAAAACACCAAAACUGUCCACUGACUAAAUUCUUUGAGGGUUAGCAGCUCUUUAAAAACAAGUUGACUCACCAAUGCUAUUCCAUAGUUAAGAAACUCUGGGAUACUCUGGGAAGAACAUACAAAAAAUUAAAUUGAACAAUUAAUUGAAUUAGGGCUGAUUAUUUCCAGUAGUACUAAAUCUAUCCAUUAGUUUUUCAAUUAAUAAUUUCAUCCGUAUUCAAAAGUAUUAAUUUUAUAUUAAUGACACAAAGAAAACCAUGCUAAUAGUAAUAUUUUGGAGCUGUAACCAGAAAAUAUUUAUUAUUUUUACUUACUAAUAAGUGAAUAAUUGACCAAAAUGAUAACUGUUUAUCAUAAUUCUAAGUGUUUGUCAAUCGACAAAAAAAGAAAUAAAUUGUUUUAUUGUGAAAAAAAAUACAAUUGAAUUGUCAACUUUGUAAAUUGUUUGUAUGUCAGAGAACCUCAUAAUUAGGUAGGGAACGCAACGAUAUCAAGGAAGUGGCCAAUGUCUAAAUAAUUAAUCAGUCUAACCCUUGUGCAUGCAUACUGUGAGAGUGUGUGUGUGUGUGUGUGUGUGUGUGUGUGUGUGUGUGUGUGUGUGUGUGUGUGUGUGUGUGUGUGUGCGUGCGUGUGUGUGUGUGUGUGUGAAGCAGGAGGGGAAUGGCUCUGAGAGUUUGGUUUACCCAGGGGCUCAGUUUUAGUUGUAGGACAACUUAUUCAACACAAGCAGAGCAAGGCCUGUAACGAGAGGCAGAGGCUUGAAGGAGAUUUGGUGGUGAGGGAGCCCCUGACUGAAUAUAAAAAGGGGGAUCAGCCUCCGAGAGUGGAGCGGAGGGAGCUGUCGAAACACAGCAGCGCUCUCCUCAGUCUCAAAAUUGGAACUUAAGUCCAGAAGCUGUGUGGACGCUGCAGCUUUUUCCGGUGCUUGUAAUGCGGUUAUAGCCUGUGGUGAACCGCAACUUUGGCGUGUUGUUUGUCUCAAGUUUGUGUCAUAUUCUUUUUUGUUUUUGUUGCUUUUUUUUUUUUUUUUUGCACAAAUAUGACUGUAAAUUUUGUGAAUUUAUAAAUAUCAAUUGCUGUUUUUUUUAUUUCAGCAAACAUUUUGACACGGAAUAGCUUUCUAAUAUGACCUCAAAACAGUUUCUAAAGCAGC